GACGAACGCUGGCGGCGUGCCUAAUACAUGCAAGUCGAACGCUUCUUUCCUCCCGAGUGCUUGCCCUCAAUUGGAAAGAGGAGUGGCGGACGGGUGAGUAACACGUGGGUAACCUACCCAUCAGAGGGGGAUAACACUUGGAAACAGGUGCUAAUACCGCAUAACAGUUUAUGCCGCAUGGCAUAAGAGUGAAAGGCGCUUUCGGGUGUCGCUGAUGGAUGGACCCGCGGUGCAUUAGCUAGUUGGUGAGGUAACGGCUCACCAAGGCCACGAUGCAUAGCCGACCUGAGAGGGUGAUCGGCCACACUGGGACUGAGACACGGCCCAGACUCCUACGGGAGGCAGCAGUAGGGAAUCUUCGGCAAUGGACGAAAGUCUGACCGAGCAACGCCGCGUGAGUGAAGAAGGUUUUCGGAUCGUAAAACUCUGUUGUUAGAGAAGAACAAGGACGUUAGUAACUGAACGUCCCCUGACGGUAUCUAACCAGAAAGCCACGGCUAACUACGUG
Molecule: ribosomal RNA, 508 nt
Filed under: uncultured bacterium
Lineage: Bacteria
Description: partial 16S ribosomal RNA
Rfam family: Bacterial small subunit ribosomal RNA
Source: RNAcentral